CCUACGGGUGGCAGCAGUGAGGAAUAUUGGUCAAUGGGCGGAAGCCUGAACCAGCCAAGUCGCGUGAGGGAUUAAGGCCCUAUGGGUCGUAAACCUCUUUUGUCAGGGAGCAAUGGCGUCCACGUGUGGGCGUAUGGAGAGUACCUGAAGAACAAGCAUCGGCUAACUCCGUGCCAGCAGCCGCGGUAAUACGGAGGAUGCGAGCGUUAUCCGGAUUUAUUGGGUUUAGAGGGUGCGUAGGCGGGAACUUAAGUCAGCGGUAACAUUGCGGUGCGCAACGCCGUAGAGCCGUUGAAACUGGGUUUCUUGAGUGAGCGAGAAGUAUGCGGAAUGCGUGGUGUAGCGGGGAAAUGCAUAGACAUCACGCAGAACCCCGAUUGCGAAGGCAGCUUGCUGCAGCGGAACUGACGCUGAUGCUCGAAAGCUCGGGUAUCGAACAGGAUUAGAUACCCGUGUAGUC
This 460-nucleotide ribosomal RNA is filed under the name uncultured bacterium. RNAcentral describes it as "partial 16S ribosomal RNA". It matches the Rfam family "Bacterial small subunit ribosomal RNA", at positions 338 to 795 of the family's 1533-position model. The record is from RNAcentral.